AGUGAACGCUGGCGGUAGGCCUAACACAUGCAAGUCGAACGGCAGCACAGUAAGAGCUUGCUCUUACGGGUGGCGAGUGGCGGACGGGUGAGGAAUACAUCGGAAUCUACUUUUUCGUGGGGGAUAACGUAGGGAAACUUACGCUAAUACCGCAUUCGACCUACGGGUGAAAGCAGGGGAUCUUCGGACCUUGCGCGAUUGAAUGAGCCGAUGUCGGAUUAGCUAGUUGGCGGGUUAAAGGCCCACCAAGGCGACGAUCCGUAGCUGGUCUGAGAGGAUGAUCGGCCGCACUGGAACUGAGACACGGUCCAGACUCCUACGGGAGGCAGCGGUGGGGAAUAUUGGACAAUGGGCGCAAGCCUGAUCCAGCCAUACCGCGUGGGUGAGGAAGGCCUUCGGGUUGUAAAGCCGUUUUGUUGGGAAAGAAAAGCAGCAGGUUAAUACCCCGCUGUUCUGACGGUACCCAAAGAAUAAGCACCGGCUAACUUCGUG
RNAcentral lists this ribosomal RNA (492 nucleotides) under uncultured bacterium. RNAcentral describes it as "partial 16S ribosomal RNA". It matches the Rfam family "Bacterial small subunit ribosomal RNA", at positions 29 to 507 of the family's 1533-position model. The record is from RNAcentral.